Molecule: ribosomal RNA, 2904 nt
Filed under: Escherichia coli
Lineage: Bacteria; Pseudomonadati; Pseudomonadota; Gammaproteobacteria; Enterobacterales; Enterobacteriaceae
Description: 23S ribosomal RNA
Rfam family: Bacterial large subunit ribosomal RNA
Source: RNAcentral
UUAAGCGACUAAGCGUACACGGUGGAUGCCCUGGCAGUCAGAGGCGAUGAAGGACGUGCUAAUCUGCGAUAAGCGUCGGUAAGGUGAUAUGAACCGUUAUAACCGGCGAUUUCCGAAUGGGGAAACCCAGUGUGAUUCGUCACACUAUCAUUAACUGAAUCCAUAGGUUAAUGAGGCGAACCGGGGGAACUGAAACAUCUAAGUACCCCGAGGAAAAGAAAUCAACCGAGAUUCCCCCAGUAGCGGCGAGCGAACGGGGAGCAGCCCAGAGCCUGAAUCAGUGUGUGUGUUAGUGGAAGCGUCUGGAAAGGCGCGCGAUACAGGGUGACAGCCCCGUACACAAAAAUGCACAUACUGUGAGCUCGAUGAGUAGGGCGGGACACGUGGUAUCCUGUCUGAAUAUGGGGGGACCAUCCUCCAAGGCUAAAUACUCCUGACUGACCGAUAGUGAACCAGUACCGUGAGGGAAAGGCGAAAAGAACCCCGGCGAGGGGAGUGAAAAAGAACCUGAAACCGUGUACGUACAAGCAGUGGGAGCACAGAGCAAUCUGUGUGACUGCGUACCUUUUGUAUAAUGGGUCAGCGACUUAUAUUCUGUAGCAAGGUUAACCGAAUAGGGGAGCCGAAGGGAAACCGAGUCUUAACUGGGCGUUAAGUUGCAGGGUAUAGACCCGAAACCCGGUGAUCUAGCCAUGGGCAGGUUGAAGGUUGGGUAACACUAACUGGAGGACCGAACCGACUAAUGUUGAAAAAUUAGCGGAUGACUUGUGGCUGGGGGUGAAAGGCCAAUCAAACCGGGAGAUAGCUGGUUCUCCCCGAAAGCUAUUUAGGUAGCGCCUCGUGAAUUCAUCUCCGGGGGUAGAGCACUGUUUCGGCAAGGGGGUCAUCCCGACUUACCAACCCGAUGCAAACUGCGAAUACCGGAGAAUGUUAUCACGGGAGACACACGGCGGGUGCUAACGUCCGUCGUGAAGAGGGAAACAACCCAGACCGCCAGCUAAGGUCCCAAAGUCAUGGUUAAGUGGGAAACGAUGUGGGAAGGCCCAGACAGCCAGGAUGUUGGCUUAGAAGCAGCCAUCAUUUAAAGAAAGCGUAAUAGCUCACUGGUCGAGUCGGCCUGCGCGGAAGAUGUAACGGGGCUAAACCAUGCACCGAAGCUGCGGCAGCGACGCUUAUGCGUUGUUGGGUAGGGGAGCGUUCUGUAAGCCUGCGAAGGUGUGCUGUGAGGCAUGCUGGAGGUAUCAGAAGUGCGAAUGCUGACAUAAGUAACGAUAAAGCGGGUGAAAAGCCCGCUCGCCGGAAGACCAAGGGUUCCUGUCCAACGUUAAUCGGGGCAGGGUGAGUCGACCCCUAAGGCGAGGCCGAAAGGCGUAGUCGAUGGGAAACAGGUUAAUAUUCCUGUACUUGGUGUUACUGCGAAGGGGGGACGGAGAAGGCUAUGUUGGCCGGGCGACGGUUGUCCCGGUUUAAGCGUGUAGGCUGGUUUUCCAGGCAAAUCCGGAAAAUCAAGGCUGAGGCGUGAUGACGAGGCACUACGGUGCUGAAGCAACAAAUGCCCUGCUUCCAGGAAAAGCCUCUAAGCAUCAGGUAACAUCAAAUCGUACCCCAAACCGACACAGGUGGUCAGGUAGAGAAUACCAAGGCGCUUGAGAGAACUCGGGUGAAGGAACUAGGCAAAAUGGUGCCGUAACUUCGGGAGAAGGCACGCUGAUAUGUAGGUGAAGUCCCUCGCGGAUGGAGCUGAAAUCAGUCGAAGAUACCAGCUGGCUGCAACUGUUUAUUAAAAACACAGCACUGUGCAAACACGAAAGUGGACGUAUACGGUGUGACGCCUGCCCGGUGCCGGAAGGUUAAUUGAUGGGGUCAGCGCAAGCGAAGCUCUUGAUCGAAGCCCCGGUAAACGGCGGCCGUAACUAUAACGGUCCUAAGGUAGCGAAAUUCCUUGUCGGGUAAGUUCCGACCUGCACGAAUGGCGUAAUGAUGGCCAGGCUGUCUCCACCCGAGACUCAGUGAAAUUGAACUCGCUGUGAAGAUGCAGUGUACCCGCGGCAAGACGGAAAGACCCCGUGAACCUUUACUAUAGCUUGACACUGAACAUUGAGCCUUGAUGUGUAGGAUAGGUGGGAGGCUUUGAAGUGUGGACGCCAGUCUGCAUGGAGCCGACCUUGAAAUACCACCCUUUAAUGUUUGAUGUUCUAACGUGGACCCGUGAUCCGGGUUGCGGACAGUGUCUGGUGGGUAGUUUGACUGGGGCGGUCUCCUCCUAAAGAGUAACGGAGGAGCACGAAGGUUGGCUAAUCCUGGUCGGACAUCAGGAGGUUAGUGCAAUGGCAUAAGCCAGCUUGACUGCGAGCGUGACGGCGCGAGCAGGUGCGAAAGCAGGUCAUAGUGAUCCGGUGGUUCUGAAUGGAAGGGCCAUCGCUCAACGGAUAAAAGGUACUCCGGGGAUAACAGGCUGAUACCGCCCAAGAGUUCAUAUCGACGGCGGUGUUUGGCACCUCGAUGUCGGCUCAUCACAUCCUGGGGCUGAAGUAGGUCCCAAGGGUAUGGCUGUUCGCCAUUUAAAGUGGUACGCGAGCUGGGUUUAGAACGUCGUGAGACAGUUCGGUCCCUAUCUGCCGUGGGCGCUGGAGAAUUGAGGGGGGCUGCUCCUAGUACGAGAGGACCGGAGUGGACGCAUCACUGGUGUUCGGGUUGUCAUGCCAAUGGCACUGCCCGGUAGCUAAAUGCGGAAGAGAUAAGUGCUGAAAGCAUCUAAGCACGAAACUUGCCCCGAGAUGAGUUCUCCCUGACUCCUUGAGAGUCCUGAAGGAACGUUGAAGACGACGACGUUGAUAGGCCGGGUGUGUAAGCGCAGCGAUGCGUUGAGCUAACCGGUACUAAUGAACCGUGAGGCUUAACCUU